GGCCCUCCAGGACUGCCAGGUUCACCAGGUAUAUCAGGUUUAGAAGCUGUGCCUGGUGCUCCUGGGCCAAAGGGUGAGCCAGGAGUUUCAGGAGUUAGAGGGCCUCCUGGAAUAAUUGGACCACGUGGACCUGUUGGGCCAGAGGGAAUAUCAGGAUUGCAGGGACCGAAGGGUGAACAAGGAAAUUCUGGACAACUUGGAUCUCCUG
Long non-coding RNA from Limulus polyphemus (Atlantic horseshoe crab), 208 nucleotides. RefSeq lists it as uncharacterized. The transcript is spliced from 3 exons. NCBI's taxonomy places the organism in Eukaryota, Metazoa, Arthropoda, Merostomata, Xiphosura, Limulidae. The record is from RefSeq and is a predicted model, not a curated record.